AGCGGCGACGCGUACAGCGAAUAAACCAACAUACUAACGACCGUCACGGCAGCAAAAAAAAGCGAAUACCGAAAAAGCGAAAGGAAAGCACCGUCUUCACAUCUCGGCGCGUGUGUGUCUCCUUCCCUUCCCGUUUUUGUCUCCCUCCCCUCCUCCCCUCCUCCUAUUUCCUUGUUUGUUUGUGUUUACGCUCUGUUAUCCGUCUCCGUACGGUCACACACGACCUACACACACACCAAAUACGUAUAUAUAUAUAUAUACGUACAUACACGCAGAACUAAACCGGCCUACCGACCCGACCCGCGCACGCAUAGCCGCCCUCUUGCCCUUCCUUCACCUGCAAGAGUGAGGUGUGUCUUGUCUCUCUUCGUCAUUGACCGUCGUUGCAUGUGUUGUGGUGCUUUUCUUCGUUGUGUGCGUGUGCAUUCUUGUGCGUAGUCUCCGUCGUUGCCCUUCACUUUUUUGUCGCUCCCUCUGCGCUCUCCAUAGGCUCCCACCCCACCCCAAGUUCAGUUCCUCUUCCUUUUCUCCUGCGCCUUUCCCUUCCUUUAGCACGCACACUGGCACAUAUACACCCGACUGUGUACGACUUCCCUCCGCGCCGUACGGGCGACUCUCCUUUGUUUUUUCCGUUGUUGCGCAAAAAACAAAGGCGAAACCACGAAGAGACCAAAGAAGGAGCGACGAGAAGAGCGGCAGCUGCGCCGAGGCGCAAUCACCUGCGGACCCUCGGCGUUUCCCCUCCCUUCUCCUUCGGCACACGCACGGGAAUAUUUUUGCGCGUACGCGAGGGGCGCCCGCCGCCAUCGUGCCGGUCGACUCCUGAUUAAAGGCAAGCGAAACAAGUGAGGCUGCAUUGAAGCAGAAGGAAACCCCUGCGAAGCGACUAGUGUUGGGUGCAACGGUGGCGCGCGGGUGCGGACAGCCGUUUCUUCGUUUUUUUUUUGCGGUUUCACGGGCACGUUGGGCUGCUGAGCAAAAAGUACACAUAUACAUACAUAUACAUCUAUAUAAAGUGUGUGUGCCAAAACGCAUCAACGAGGCCCACCCACUCACUCACCCGGUGGCUCACCUACGCAAACGCAAAGGCAGUGACUACCAUGGACUCGCGACGGCAUCGGGUAUCUCCGCUUGUGGUGCCGUCGUCGGCGCACUCGCGCACCUUCUCGAAGAUGACAGUCACCAGCGCCAACCUGGUGAAUGUCAGCGACACAAAUCUGUCCCUGACCCCAACUUGCACAAGCACGAAUGAGCGCCACCCACUGCAUGGAGCGCAUACGCCCCACCGUCGCGCCUCCAUCCUCGAGAAGCAGCAGCCCACCCCGCGCGGCUCCUUGCAGUGGCCGUCGACGCACCGCUCCUUCUCCAGUGCCGCAGCCACGCGCGACAGCUCGCGGCACUCGCAGGUGACCGACCGUAUGAACGCGAUUGGCGUGAGCGUUUCCGCCUUGAGCCAGCACGGUCGAGCCUGCAGCAGUGCCUCUCACACGCCCAUGUCGUCGCACGACGAGCGCAGCGAGCACUACUCCUCCGCUUUCAGCGGUGCCGGUGGCCGGCGAGGCUACAGCCUCGGCCGCCACUCAACGGCGCCGCCGCUGGUGGAUUUUGGAGACUCUCCUUCCUUCAGCCGACACAGCGCCGCGCACAGCGUGUGCACGACGGCGCUGUGCACGCCACGCGACGGCACCGCGACGUCCUCACACGGCCCUGUGGCGUCGCCGUCCAUGACUACCGAGGGCAACAGCGCCAGCAUGUCGGGCCCUCCCCCGCUGUACGACUUUGAGGCGGAGGCGCACCAGCUAACGCGCGAGCAGCUGGAGGAGCGGGUGUUGCAGAUGCGGGCGGCCAACGUUGUGCUGCAAACCUCGGUGCUUCGACUGCGUGAGUCCCUAGCGACUCUGCAGGAGGGCAUGCGCGCUAACUACGCUGACCUAGAGCGACGGCAGGAGAGCAUAGCGAACAUGCUGCUGCGACGCCUGGAGGCCACGAAGCGACGUCGUGGCAAGCUGGUCGCCCACCUGUGUAGCGUGGAGGCCGAGAAGGCGUCGCAGGAGACGAAGCUGCGCAACACCACGCAAAACAUCAAGGAACUGUCGAAGCAUCUGAAACAGGAGGAGCAAGAAAUCGCCAACCGCCUGCAGCGCCGUCUGGAGCGACUGCACGCUCAGCGAAAGCAGCUCGACCAUGCCCUGGAGGAGCAGACAAACUCGCUGCAGCAGCUGGAGCAGCUCGUGCAGGAGGUGGAAGAGAUGGACCAGAGCGACUCAGCGGAGACGAGCGCCGGCUGCCUGGCCACUCAAAGCGCAACGGCGACGCCGGCACUCCCCGCUGCACCCGCGAGCAGCGCCACAGCGACCACCAGCGGCAUCUGUGUCCCCGUGCACGAGCGUAGCAGCAGUCGCAUGAGCGCGGCGAGCUCGACCACCGCCACCACCACGGCCGACGUCGCCUACGACCCUACUGCCAUGAUACGGUACUUGGAGGAGGAGAUCGCGGCAGCCGAGAGCCUGCGCACGGAGGCGCUGUCCAAGGCGGAGAAGUACGUCGCCACGCGCGAGCGGCUGGAGCGGCGCCUUGCGCGGGAGAAGCAGCAGCGGGCCGAGCAGCAUUCUCGCACACAGGAACUUCGUCAGCAGCUGCAGGAUGCAAGCACGGCUGUGAAUGAGAAGGAGGCAGCGCAAGCGUUGACGAUGGAGAUGGAGGUGGAUAGGCACCUGAGCAGCUCUCGCUUCGGCGGCGACCUCAUUUCAAGUGCCAGCAGCACGUGCGCCACGCCUCAAUUGCGCACCGUGAGCGCGGUAGCUAGUCGAGGUAACUCGGCGUCGCCUGGUGUCAGCCGGCCUUGUCCCGGGCCCGCUCUGCAGGACGUCGACGGACGCCCGCAAGACCCGUUUAUGUUGCCGGCCAGCAGCGCCUGCGGCGCUCAGGCGAGUUCCACGAGCCACCCCGGCCACUUCAGAGGCGCUAGCGGCGUGUCGGCCAGCAUGUCAGGCUGCACGUCGCUAGGCGAUCCCCCGGCCGCCGCGCCUGCGAUAGAGGCACUGAACCGUCUCUCCUCUUCAACACCACUGAACGCGCCCGCUAGUCGUGAUGAGACAACGAUAUCUUCCGAGGGCAGCCAGCACGCGCGGCUGCUUCUGCAGGACACCUCCUGCGUGGCCGCCCCGCGUCCGGCGAUGCCCGCAGAGAGCACGCUGCCGUCCGCCUCGUCCAUGCCCGACGCCCAAGGCCCCAUGCUGUAGCACCUCCGCUGCCUUUAAAAUGCUAGACUGCGCCUGUGUGUGCAUCAGUACCUGUGCUGUCAUCUACAUGCUGCUCCUGGGCUUCGGUGAGCGAGUGCUUGUGGUCGGUGGAGUGAGGAAAGAACUGGGUGCAUAGGCCGAUCUGUCACCGCCAGCCGCUGCUGACCUCCUCAUCUUUUCAUUCCUGAGGAGGAGGAGGGGAGAAGGGCUCCUCUUGGGCGUUGUCAUGCCCUCGAGGCAACGCGCACCCACUCACCGCGGUCACGCUAGAGAAGGUGGAGGGUGGGCUGUAAUGAUGGCAGCAGUGAGAGGUUCAUGCAGCACGCCCUCCCUUCACCCAACGUCUCCCGAUGUCUCCGAGGCGCACUUGAAGACACACACGCAAUGCCUAGCCACCCUUGUUUGCACAGGCGUAUUCUCCCGGUGGUGCUUGCGUGGUGGCGGUUUCCCCUUCCCUCCCUCCGCUGUCUUUCUCUAUCUUCCUUUCUAGUCAUCUUUUCUUUAUGUUGUGCCAACUAAGCCUUGAAGCCACUACCGCCACCGAUGUACACGCUCACACACACACACACACACGCGCGCACCGUAUGUCAUCUGGAGCACCACCACUGUGUUGCGGGUGUCUCCCACUCAUUCCUUUGUAUUGCCCUUUAUUUUUCUUUAGCCGCUCUACUCCCUCCUUCCCUCUCUCUCUUUCCUUCCCCGGUUGCCUGCCUGUAUGUGCCUGUGUGUGUGUGUGUGUGACCCUCCUUCAUCAUGAAUGAAGCCCAUUUUUCCUUUUCUCUGCCACUCUCUUCCCCUCCCUCUCCUCCCUUCCCUCUCUUGUCUUCGUCAUUUACCUCUUCCUCUAUGACGUAUGUGAGUGUAUGAGUGUACGUACGCACCCACACACACCACGUCUCCGGCCUUAACCCAGUCGGUGCGUUGCGCGAGUGCUCACGGCACCUCUUUCUCCUUCUCUUCUUAUACGCUGAAGGUGAUCUCUCUCUGUCGGGUGUCUUUCCGGGUAUCGGUUCGAUGUUGUGUAGGAGCCCGUUGCUGGUGUGUGUUGUGUGUGUGUGUGUAACUGAACGGGUACCGCGUUGCAUGUUGCCUGUGCAUGCUGUUGUCGAGGACUGUAUCCGUCCAUCCGCCCACCCGCCGCUGUGCCGACUGCCCGCCCACCGUCCCCCAUCUCUCUUCUCUCCUCUCCUCGUCUCUCUGCCUUUUCAUGUGUGUUUCGAGUCUGGUGGCACUCCCUCCCCUGCCCCCUCUCGGGUGCGGCAGGGGGGACGAGAUAGGAGUCGGCAAGAAGGGGAAUACGUGAGGGACUGCGGAGGGCGGAGCAGCGAGCGCGCACGAGCGCGAGCGCGAGGGGGAGACGGACAAACAACAAAUAGCCAGCGGUCGCAACCGGAGACGAGAGGAGAGCGGCGUGCUUUCUUCUGCCUCCUCUCCUCCUCACCGCCACGCCAGCUGACGUGCGGAUGGCCGGGGCAUCAGCCAGUCGUGCGGAAUGCGCGAGGCUUUUGCACAUUGUGAAGGUGGCGGCGAGAAAUAGAGUCGGAAGUCUUCUCAUGCGUCGCGCUGCUGGUCAGCAGCGCAGUCGGCACUGCUUUUCGGGUGGUGGAAAGGCUUCACAUUUUGGUGGUUCUCUCACCAUUCCCGUCAGGGCCGCGGCUCUCGUGCCUCCGCCUCUUCCUCGCCUUUCUCUCUCCCCCUCUCACAAGGGCGACGCCCGUGAGCUUCGCGUCCGCCAUGAUGCAACGAGCGCUGUUUUCGUGCCCCUCUCUCAUCUCUCUGCUGAGUCGGGGGUUAUUAGAAAUCCCGUUUUCAAUUUCGCAACACCCCGUCUCUCUCUCUCCCUCCCCUGCCUUCUUCUCUUCACGUCUGCCCAAAUCACGGUCUACUCACCGCAUUCAACGACAUACACACACCUCGCCGGCAUCCCUCCGACAACGCACUUGUACGCGGCCCGCGCGCCUCCGUCUCUGCGGUGGUGCUUCUCUCUCUCCCCUGGACUUCUCCCGUUCUCUGCGAUCUACGCGAUAG
This 5270-nucleotide unclassified non-coding RNA is filed under the name Leishmania donovani. RNAcentral describes it as "gene:LdHU3.10.0240(CDS-product:hypothetical_prote in_conserved)". The record is from RNAcentral. Lineage: Eukaryota; Euglenozoa; Kinetoplastea; Trypanosomatida; Trypanosomatidae.